RNAcentral lists this ribosomal RNA (162 nucleotides) under uncultured bacterium. Its description in RNAcentral is "partial 16S rRNA". It matches the Rfam family "Bacterial small subunit ribosomal RNA", at positions 357 to 511 of the family's 1533-position model. The record is from RNAcentral.
GGGAAUAUUGGACAAUGGGCGAAAGCCUGAUCCAGCCAUGCCGCGUGUGUGAAGAAGGUCUUCGGAUUGUAAAGCACUUUAAGUUGGGAGGAAGGGCAGUAAGCUAAUACCUUGCUGUUUUGACGUUACCGACAGAAUAAGCACCGGCUAACUCUGUGUCAG